This 253-nucleotide ribosomal RNA is filed under the name uncultured bacterium. RNAcentral's name for it is "partial 16S ribosomal RNA". It matches the Rfam family "Bacterial small subunit ribosomal RNA", at positions 524 to 776 of the family's 1533-position model. The record is from RNAcentral.
UACGUAGGGUGCAAGCGUUAAUCGGAAUUACUGGGCGUAAAGAGCUCGUAGGCGGUUUGUCGCGUCUGCCGUGAAAGUCCGGGGCUUAACCCCGGAUCUGCGGUGGGUACGGGCAGACUAGAGUGCAGUAGGGGAGACUGGAAUUCCUGGUGUAGCGGUGAAAUGCGCAGAUAUCAGGAGGAACACCGGUGGCGAAGGCGGUUCUCUGGGCAUUACCUGACGCUGAGGAGCGAAAGUGUGGGGAGCGAACAGG